This 610-nucleotide ribosomal RNA is filed under the name uncultured bacterium. RNAcentral describes it as "bacterial SSU rRNA". It matches the Rfam family "Bacterial small subunit ribosomal RNA", at positions 305 to 911 of the family's 1533-position model. The record is from RNAcentral.
CAGCCACAUUGGGACUGAGAGACGGCCCAGACUCCUACGGGAGGCAGCAGUGGGGAAUCUUGCGCAAUGGUCGAGAGACUGACGCAGCGACGCCGCGUGUGGGAGGACGCCUUUCGGGGUGUAAACCACUGUUGCCCGGGACGAACUCGCUCUUUCGAGGGCGUUGACGGUACCGGGUGAGGAAGCACCGGCUAACUCCGUGCCAGCAGCCGCGGUAAUACGGAGGGUGCGAGCGUUGUCCGGAAUCAUUGGGCGUAAAGGGCGCGUAGGUGGCCCGGUGAGUCUUUGGUGAAAGCGCGGGGCUCAACCCUGCGUCGGCCAGGGAUACUGCCGCGGCUCGAGCACUGUAGAGGCAGGCGGAAUUCCGGGUGUAGCGGUGGAAUGCGUAGAGAUCCGGAAGAACACCGGUGGCGAAGGCGGCCUGCUGGGCAGUUUAGCUGACACUGAGGCGCGACAGCGUGGGGAGCAAACAGGAUUAGAUACCCUGGUAGUCCACGCCGUAAACGAUGGGCACUAGGCGCUUGGGGGAGCGACCCCUCGAGGGCCGGCGCUAACGCAUUAAGUGCCCCGCCUGGGGAGUACGGCCGCAAGGCUGAAACUCAAAGGAAUU